RNAcentral lists this ribosomal RNA (404 nucleotides) under uncultured prokaryote. Its description in RNAcentral is "bacterial SSU rRNA". It matches the Rfam family "Bacterial small subunit ribosomal RNA", at positions 355 to 776 of the family's 1533-position model. RNAcentral also lists the same sequence under 1 other name. The record is from RNAcentral.
UGGGGAAUAUUGGGCAAUGGGCGCAAGCCUGACCCAGCAACGCCGCGUGAAGGAUGAAGGCUUUCGGGUUGUAAACUUCUUUGGCCAGGGACGAUAAUGACGGUACCUGGAGAACAAGCCACGGCUAACUACGUGCCAGCAGCCGCGGUAAUACGUAGGUGGCAAGCGUUAUCCGGAUUUACUGGGUGUAAAGGGCGUGUAGGCGGGUUGGCAAGUCGGGUGUGAAAUUCAUAGGCUUAACCUAUGACGGUCAUCCGAAACUGCCGAUCUUGAGUGCAGGAGAGGAGAGUGGAAUUCCUAGUGUAGCGGUGAAAUGCGUAGAUAUUAGGAGGAACACCAGUAGCGAAGGCGGCUCUCUGGACUGUAACUGACGCUGAGGCACGAAAGCGUGGGGAGCAAACAGG